RNAcentral lists this long non-coding RNA (1750 nucleotides) under Sus scrofa (pig). Its description in RNAcentral is "lncRNA (ENSSSCG00025025555.1)". The record is from RNAcentral. Lineage: Eukaryota; Metazoa; Chordata; Mammalia; Artiodactyla; Suidae.
CCUUUUCUAGGGCCGAUCCUGUGGCACAUGGAGGUUCCCAGGCUAGGGAAUCUAAUUGGAGCUGUAAUCGCCGGCCUACACCAGAGCCACAGCAACUCAGGAUCCGAGCUGCAUCUGCAACCUACACCACAGCUCACGGCAACGCUGGAUCCUUAACCCACUGAGCAAGGCCAGGGAUGGAACCCGCAACCUCAUGGUUCCUAGUCGGAUUCGUUAACCACUGAACCAUGACAGGAACUCCCGGAACCCCUUAUUUUAUGUUCUGACAUUGACACUGCAGGCCAAGCCCACUGUUAAGCUGCUGAUACAUAGCAAAUCACGACCUGGAACUGGUGUGGGCUUUGAAGAAGAGUUAAAAGUUUGUCGCAGUGUUGUUUUUUGAUGAGAAUUUCGAAGGCCUGAGCCCUGGGGUAGAGCUUUGGAUGAGUCCUUCUAUACAAAACAGGUGAUUAAAGAUCCAGCUCCUAAGGACCGGCAUCCUCGGAGCCAUUUUCCCAAAGGGCAGGGGCAACCAGAGGACGGAUGGGGACCUGGCUAAGGCUCUGCCUGUGGUCAGCAGAGGGCUAACAGGCAGAUGACCAGGGCCAUCCCUCCCCCCAAUCCAGGCCUUCACUGGAUGAAACAGUCUGUGGGGCAGGAAGAGUACCUUUUCUCUGCCCAAACCCCAGCCCACUGGGGAGCAAGUCCACUUUUCCCAACGUGUUUUGCUCCCACUGGGAGAUGAUUUGGGUCAGUGUCCCAUUAGCCCAGGACAGAGUCCCUGCCCCUCCUCCUGACAACUGCUGGACAGUCAACCCUCACUGCCAACACCCUGCGUUGGCCCAAGCCGCUUCCUCUCCAGACCUCCUGCCCCCCUCUCUCCUCGGCCUGCCAGAGUCCAGGAAAGGCAGAAAGCUCUGGACAGGCCCCCAGUUGCCCUGUAGGCUGUAGAUAAAAUAAAGUCAGUGGCUAUUCCCUAAGGUCCGCACUGCUCAGGCUCCACUACUAGGGGGAGCCCUCUAAGGCAGAGCCACAGCGCCACCUGGUGGUAAAGGGCCAACUGUGCAGCUAGGCCUGAGACAGCACAAAGACAAAUACCUCCUGGGUGCCCCUUUCUUAACUAUUUCAGUAGUUGCUGGGGGUCCUCCCUAGAUCCCAGGAGAGCCCCAUCCUGAGGGCUGAGGGACGACUGUAAAGUUGAAGUCCCCAGUCACAUCUCUGACACACACACCCCCAUACACAUAGCAAAACCCCUUAGAAAGGGCCUGGGCUUCUGUGUCACGAGGACUAGAACAAAAUAAUGCCAUUUGAAGCAACAUGGAUGAAACCAGAGACUCUCUUACUGAAUGAAGUCAGAAAGAGAAAGACAAAUACCAUAUGAUAUCACUUAUAUCUGGAAUCUAAUAUAUGACACAAUUGAACCUUUCCACAGAAAAGAAAAUCAUGGACUUGGAGAAUAGACUUGUGGCUGCCAAGGGGGAGGGAGAGGGAGUGGGGUGGAUGGGGAGCCUGGGGUUAAUAGAUGCAAACUACUGCCUUUGGAGUGGAUUAGCAAUGAGAUCCUGCUGUAUAGCACUGGGAACGACAUCUAGUCACUUAUGAUGGAGCACGAUAAUGUGAGAAAAAAGAAUGUAUCCAUGUAUGUGUAACUGGGUCACCAUGCUGUAUAGUAGAAAAAAAAAUUGUAUUGGGGAAAUAACAAUUUUUAAAAAAAGAAGAAGAAGAAAAUACAAUUGCUUCUUUUUUUUCUUUCUUUUUUUUUUUUUUUUUU